UUAGAGUGAGCGGCAAACGGGUGAGUAACGCGUGGGAAUCUACCCAUCUCUACGGAAUAACACAGAGAAAUUUGUGCUAAUACCGUAUACGUCCUUAGGGAGAAAGAUUUAUCGGAGAUGGAUGAGCCCGCGUUGGAUUAGCUAGUUGGUGAGGUAACGGCUCACCAAGGCGACGAUCCAUAGCUGGUCUGAGAGGAUGAUCAGCCACACUGGGACUGAGACACGGCCCAGACUCCUACGGGAGGCAGCAGUGGGGAAUAUUGGACAAUGGGGGCAACCCUGAUCCAGCCAUGCCGCGUGAGUGAUGAAGGCCCUAGGGUUGUAAAGCUCUUUCACCGGUGAAGAUAAUGACGGUAA
RNAcentral lists this ribosomal RNA (357 nucleotides) under Bartonella sp. FY. RNAcentral describes it as "bacterial SSU rRNA". It matches the Rfam family "Bacterial small subunit ribosomal RNA", at positions 86 to 478 of the family's 1533-position model. RNAcentral also lists the same sequence under 1 other name. The record is from RNAcentral. Lineage: Bacteria; Pseudomonadati; Pseudomonadota; Alphaproteobacteria; Hyphomicrobiales; Bartonellaceae.